GGAAUCUUCGGCAAUGGGGGCAACCCUGACCGAGCAACGCCGCGUGAGUGAAGAAGGUUUUCGGAUCGUAAAGCUCUGUUGUAAGAGAAGAACAUGUGUGAGAGUGGAAAGUUCACACAGUGACGGUAACUUACCAGAAAGGGACGGCUAACUACGUGCCAG
Molecule: ribosomal RNA, 162 nt
Filed under: uncultured bacterium
Lineage: Bacteria
Description: partial 16S rRNA
Rfam family: Bacterial small subunit ribosomal RNA
Source: RNAcentral